Lynx canadensis (Canada lynx) is the source of this 2456-nucleotide long non-coding RNA. RefSeq lists it as uncharacterized. The record is from RefSeq and is a predicted model, not a curated record. The transcript has 4 exons. NCBI's taxonomy places the organism in Eukaryota, Metazoa, Chordata, Mammalia, Carnivora, Felidae.
CCGCCGCCGCCGUUGCUGUCAGCGCUCGAGUGAAGAGUGACAGCGCCGCAAGAGCGGGAGGGAGCGCCGAACCCCGCGAACCUACGAAACAGGUGCAUGCGCCGAUCUCCUGGCCAGUGGACCCAGCUCGCAAGGUUGCCAUUCAUGAGCCCGAGGCUGUGAGAAAUGCUCGCUGUGCAAAGGGGAGCUCUCACCAGAUUCUCUGAAGCUGUCCUAGAAAUACACUUUUCAGAUUGAUUCAGCUUUACCAGCUUAUCCAACAAAAGUAUUAACAUAUACAUUAACAACGUCGAAAGUAGCCUACUUUAAGAGAAAAUAUGCAGAAGAAGAAGAUUUACAUCAAGAUUACCAUGGGUAUUUUCCAAAACACCUGAUAUUGCCUGAGGACAGGACUUGCAUUCUCAAACUUUCUCUGGAGAAGCUCAGGUUUCUUGAAGACCCAGAAACCUACUUAAGAAGGUCUGUGUUAAUUAACAAUUUGCUGAGGAAGAUACAUCUAGAGACGGAGAAAGAGAGCUAUGAAUACUUUAAAGAAGCUCCCUGUUAUAAGACUGCUUAUUCUGAUACAAGAAAACGGCUGAAGUUCAUGGUACAGGAAUGCUGUUCUCAGUCUCUUUAUUAUGAAGAGCUGCAUUCAUAUCAUAUUGUGCCUUAUGCUUCGGAGAAUGCCAUUUAUGGGAUGGGCUACACUAGCAGCCACUUGGAGCAAAAUUCUCAGUUGCUUAUUUAUAAAAUGAAUUAAAGUAACUGUUAAGUUCAUUGAUACUUUGUUUCUAAAUGCCUGACCUGUUUUAGUGAAGAUAUUGAAAAAAGGCACUAAUUACCAGUGCACUUGAGAUCAAAGAUGGCAUGCACGCUGAACUGAGUGGAAAGAACCCUGGUUAUUACUCGGCAGUCCUUAGUAUCGUCCAAAUUGAAGCUAUGUCCACAUAUUAUAAAGCAGCAAAUAAGUGCUGUAAAGGCAAAGAUUUUUAUGUUUUUUUUUCUUAAAGAUAAGAUGAUGUGUACAAAGGGACCUAUGUCAAGGUCUCAUGUGAAUUUAAACUUUUAAGCCCCCGUUUCCAAAUUCUGCCAUUCCUAGUGGAAAGUGACAAAAUGUGACCCUGAACUGACAAUGCAGGAUCCCUGAAUAUUAAGGGUGGAAUGAAUUUACUUUUCCGUAAAUGAUGAGGGGAAGAUAGGCUCUUUCUGAAAAGUUUUGGCUUGUCAAGCAUUGUGCCAAAUAAUUGUUUGACACCAUUCUCCUUCUAUGGUUUGUGGCAAUUUAAGAUGAGGCAAACAUAUUGCAACUUAACUGCUGAAUGUAACAACCAGAUUACUCCAAACUGAUCCAUUUUUUUUGUUUUGUUUUAUACUUUUGGCUUGAUAGACAUUUAUCUUUUAAAGUAAAAUUUAUUAAAAUGAGCCUUGCAGAUGGGCUUAUCUCUGAGUUCUAGAGGUCAUUUAAAAUUUGUGGUUGGUCUUAAGGGUUUAAAUUUAAUUUAUGAUGUCAUUUUUAUAGGCUGUGAAGCUCAGGAAAAGGGUAGGCAGGUCAAUUUGUUUUAAUAGCUUGACAAUUAAAAAAAAUCUUAUCUGCAAAAAUUAGUGAAAACCACAGAAAUUCUACAUGAUGUUAUUUCUUCAUCGAAGAGUACUUUUAAGGCUGCCUGGACGAAACUUGCACUGAUUUUUGUAUAAUAGUUGACCAUUCACUAUUUGACAAAAUGUAUCAGAAUGCUUUUGGUGGUGAAGUUUAGAUAAGUCCCUAUAUUUUGCAAUUUGAAAGAUAAUUAUUUAACAAGUUGGAUAGUUUCCUGAAAUUAUUUGAAGUGGUUCAUAACGUUCUUUGAGGUUUGAGUGAGAUGUCUGAUUUCAGUGUCCAGAGUCAUGUCCUAUGGAGCAUAUCAUUCAAAGAACUGUCAUUAACUGAUAAAACAGAUUGGGAAAACUAGGUGCCAAAGGUAUAUUCAAGAAAAUACCAAAGACCCAAAGAUGAGUGUUAGAGAGACUAUGAUAAUGAAGGUAAGAGUCUAAAAUAAGGAUUCCACAGGACACAGAAGAACAUUGUUAAAGGGUUUUGGAACUAUGUGCUUACUAAUGUGCUUUCACAGCACUUUAUACAUAAUAGUGAUAAUCAAGGACACUGCUUUAAACAAAGAUACUACAGGCCUUCGGUGAUCGUAUGUUUUCACAAAUCUAACUAUGGUGAUUUGUCAACAUUGUACCUUCCCUAGUUGAACGCCGUCUUGUAACCAGGAAGUCCUUUUUUUAUUCAGGACAAUUUUGUUCUUAGUUUUGAUUUACUAUGUGUUCCUUCUAAUGAAUCAUCAGGUGAGUCACAUGAAUGUGUUUGGUAUAAAGAUUAUUGGCACCCUAAUUAGCAUGUGUUGUUGAAGAUUCUAUAGAUCUAUAACUGAUAAAAGUAUCAGGUUUGUUUUUAAUUGCUCAAUUAGAAUUUGUAGAAAAUACUUUAGAAA